RNAcentral lists this long non-coding RNA (641 nucleotides) under Homo sapiens (human). Its description in RNAcentral is "non-protein coding lnc-PRDM9-10:5". The record is from RNAcentral. Lineage: Eukaryota; Metazoa; Chordata; Mammalia; Primates; Hominidae.
GGGUAGUAGAACAAUGGGAUUAUGCUGUCACAAAAACCAAAGAAAAAACAUAAUUUCUUAAAUCAUGGUCUGUCACUGAAUCUGGUUAUAAAACCUUAUCUUGCACUAGAAGGAUCUGUAGCUUUUCCAGCUGAGAAUGGGGUUCAGGAUACCGAAUCAACACAAGAAAAGAGAGAAACUGGGGAUGAAGAAAACUCAGCUAAAUUUCCUGUAGGAAGGAGAGAUUUUGACAUAUUCUCAGACCACUUCUACCAAAACAUAAAUCUGUGAUUGUGAUCUCUGAAAGUCAGUCCUUUUAUCUACUCAAGUAGAAAUAUGGGUAUAUAGAAAGGAAGAAAGCAAGGCUAACGGUGAGCAGUGGCUAAAUGAACAAGAGAACAUUCAUUAUGACUCAAGGCUUUGAGAAUGUAAAGAGACCACCUUCACUUGUUGAGAAAUGGUACGAUUUCACGUUAUCAGUGCAGUUCCGUUCUCGGGGGAAAGCCCAUCCGUACUACCAGGAGACUGGAUCCGCAAAGUAGACACUUGGUCUCAUGAAGCCACUGCUGGGCUCCAGAGAGAAGGGAAAACUAAGAGGUUUUAAAACCCCUACCCUCCUUGGUUUACCUCCAUCAUUAAAAAACAACAAUGACAACGACAAC